GAGUUUGAUCGUGGCUCAGACUGAACGCUGGCGGCAUGCCUAACACAUGCAAGUCGAACGGCAGCGCGGGUAGCAAUACCUGGCGGCGAGUGGCGGACGGGUGAGGAAUACAUCGGAAUCUACCCUGUCGUGGGGGAUAACCAACCGAAAGGUUGGCUAAUACCGCAUACGACCGAGAGGUGAAAGCGGAGGACCGCAAGGCUUCGCGCGAUUGGAUGAGCCGAUGUCGGAUUAGCUAGUUGGCGGGGUAAGAGCCCACCAAGGCGACGAUCCGUAGCUGGUCUGAGAGGAUGAUCAGCCACACUGGGACUGAGACACGGCCCAGACUCCUACGGGAGGCAGCAGUGGGGAAUAUUGGACAAUGGGCGCAAGCCUGAUCCAGCAAUGCCGCGUGUGUGAAGAAGGCCUCGGUUGUAAG
Molecule: ribosomal RNA, 418 nt
Filed under: uncultured Gammaproteobacteria bacterium
Lineage: Bacteria; Pseudomonadati; Pseudomonadota; Gammaproteobacteria
Description: bacterial SSU rRNA
Rfam family: Bacterial small subunit ribosomal RNA
Source: RNAcentral